UACAAAGGACGACAGUAGACGAAUCAUCUGGAAAGAUGAAUCAAAGAAGGUAAUAAUCCGUUAGUCGAAAAUGUUGUCUUUCUUGAGUGGAUCCUGAGUCCUACGGAGCACGUGAAAUUCCUUCGGAACGUGGGCGUCCGAUCUGUUAAGGCGAAAUCCUCUCUAGUGACCAAUACUAUUCCACUAACGUCGGGGUAAACCGAAAAGCCCCCCGGUAGGAAAGUGAAAUAGACCCUGAAAACGUGUGC
RNAcentral lists this ribosomal RNA (248 nucleotides) under Staphylococcus aureus. Its description in RNAcentral is "partial 23S ribosomal RNA". It matches the Rfam family "Bacterial large subunit ribosomal RNA", at positions 315 to 563 of the family's 2925-position model. Lineage: Bacteria; Bacillati; Bacillota; Bacilli; Caryophanales; Staphylococcaceae. The record is from RNAcentral.